GCGGACGUGGCGAAGGGGUUAACGCACCGGAUUGUGGCUCCGGCAUUCGUGAGUUCGAUUCUCAUCGUCCGCCCCA
Molecule: transfer RNA, 76 nt
Filed under: Coprobacillus sp. AF18-40
Lineage: Bacteria; Bacillati; Bacillota; Erysipelotrichia; Erysipelotrichales; Coprobacillaceae
Description: tRNA-His
Rfam family: tRNA
About the family: Transfer RNA (tRNA) molecules are approximately 80 nucleotides in length.
Source: RNAcentral